Molecule: ribosomal RNA, 432 nt
Filed under: uncultured bacterium
Lineage: Bacteria
Description: bacterial SSU rRNA
Rfam family: Bacterial small subunit ribosomal RNA
Source: RNAcentral
AGCGAACGUUAGCGGCGCGCCUAACACAUGCAAGUUCGCACGAGAAAGGGAGCAAUCCCCGGUACAGUGGCGCACGGGUGAGUAACACGUAGAUGACCUUCCCUGGAGUGGUGGAUAACCUGCCGAAAGGCGGGCUAAUACAGCAUGGGACCACAUGGUUUUGACCGAGUGGUGAAAGCGGGCCUCUGUUCACAAGCUCGCGCUCUGGGAUGGGUCUGCGUCCAUCAGCUAGUUGGUGAGGUAAUGGCUCACCAAGGCAUCGACGGGUAGCUGGUCUCGAGAGGAUGACCAGCCACACUGGAACUGAGACACGGUCCAGACUCCUACGGGAGGCAGCAGUGGGGAAUCUUGCGCAAUGGGCGAAAGCCUGACGCAGCGACGCCGCGUGGGUGAUGAAGGCCUCGGUUGUAAGACCUCGUGGGAGGAACGGAA